AUUGAACGCUGGCGGCAGGCUUAACACAUGCAAGUCGAACGGUAACAGGAGAAAAGCUUGCUUUUCUUGCUGACGAGUGGCGGACGGGCGAGUAAUGCUUGGGAAUCUGCCUUAUGGAGGGGGAUAACUACGGGAAACUGUAGCUAAUACCGCGUAAUAUCUUCGGAUUAAAGUGUGGGACCUUCGGGCCACAUGCCAUGAGAUGAGCCCAAGUGAGAUUAGGUAGUUGGUGAGGUAAAGGCUCACCAAGCUGACGAUCUCUAGCUGGUUCGAGAGGAUGACCAGCCACACUGGAACUGAGACACGGUCCAGACUCCUACGGGAGGCAGCAGUGGGGAAUAUUGCACAAUGGGCGCAAGCCUGAUGCAGCCAUGCCGCGUGAAUGAAGAAGGCUUUCGGGUUGUAAAGUUCUUUCAGUGGUGAGGAGGGGUUAAUAUCUAAUAGGUAUUAACAUUGACGUUAGCCACAGAAGAAGCACCGGCUAACUCCGUGCCAGCAGCCGCGGUAAUACGGAGGGUGCGAGCGUUAAUCGGAAUAACUGGGCGUAAAGGGCACGCAGGCGGUUGUCUAAGUCAGAUGUGAAAGCCCCGAGCUUAACUUGGGAAUUGCAUUUGAGACUGGGCGACUAGAGUCCUCUAGGGAGGGGUAGAAUUCCACGUGUAGCGGUGAAAUGCGUAGAGAUGUGGAGGAAUACCGAAGGCGAAGGCAGCCCCUUGGGGAGAGACUGACGCUGAGGUGCGAAAGCGUGGGUAGCAAACAGG
Molecule: ribosomal RNA, 761 nt
Filed under: uncultured bacterium
Lineage: Bacteria
Description: bacterial SSU rRNA
Rfam family: Bacterial small subunit ribosomal RNA
Source: RNAcentral